AAUCAACGCUGGCGGCGUGCCUCAGACAUGCAAGUCGAACGCGAAAGCCUCCUUCGGGGGGCAAGUAGAGUGGCGCACGGGUGAGUAACACGUAGGUAAUCUACCUUUGGAUUGGGAAUAACCACCGGAAACGGUGGCUAAUACCGAAUAAUGCAGUGGCACCUAAUGGUGACAGUUGUUAAAGCGGGGGAUCGAAAGACCUCGCGUCUGAAGAGGAGCCUGCGGCAGAUUAGCUAGUUGGUAAGGUAACGGCUUACCAAGGCGAUGAUCUGUAGCCGGCCUGAGAGGGCGGUCGGCCACACUGACACUGACAUACGGGUCAGACUCCUACGGGAGGCAGCAGUCGGGAAUUUUGGGCAAUGGGCGAAAGCCUGACCCAGCAACGCCGCGUGAAGGAUGAAAUCCCUCGGGAUGUAAACUUCGCAAGAACGGGAAGAAUAAGUAAGGGUUAAUAUCUCUUACGAUGACGGUACUGUUUGUAAGCUCCGGCUAACUCCGUGC
Molecule: ribosomal RNA, 501 nt
Filed under: uncultured bacterium
Lineage: Bacteria
Description: bacterial SSU rRNA
Rfam family: Bacterial small subunit ribosomal RNA
Source: RNAcentral